RNAcentral lists this ribosomal RNA (529 nucleotides) under uncultured bacterium. RNAcentral describes it as "bacterial SSU rRNA". It matches the Rfam family "Bacterial small subunit ribosomal RNA", at positions 777 to 1304 of the family's 1533-position model. The record is from RNAcentral.
AAUAGAUACCCCGGUAGUCCACGCCGUAAACGAUGAGUGCUAAGUGUUAGGGGGUUUCCGCCCCUUAGUGCUGCAGCUAACGCAUUAAGCACUCCGCCUGGGGAGUACGGCCGCAAGGCUGAAACUCAAAGGAAUUGACGGGGGCCCGCACAAGCGGUGGAGCAUGUGGUUUAAUUCGAAGCAACGCGAAGAACCUUACCAGGUCUUGACAUCCUCUGACAAUCCUAGAGAUAGGACGUUCCCCUUCGGGGGACAGAGUGACAGGUGGUGCAUGGUUGUCGUCAGCUCGUGUCGUGAGAUGUUGGGUUAAGUCCCGCAACGAGCGCAACCCUUGAUCUUAGUUGCCAGCAUUCAGUUGGGCACUCUAAGGUGACUGCCGGUGACAAACCGGAGGAAGGUGGGGAUGACGUCAAAUCAUCAUGCCCCUUAUGACCUGGGCUACACACGUGCUACAAUGGAUGGUACAAAGGGCUGCAAGACCGCGAGGUUUAGCCAAUCCCAUAAAACCAUUCUCAGUUCGGAUUGCAGG